GCAAACAGCAGAUUCACAGGAUCGGAAGACACUGAGGGGAGUCUGUGCUUGUGUGGUUGUUGCUAUGGAGUUCUGAGUGGUUGUCAGGUCGUUGCUAUGUUCUGAGUGGUUGUCAGGUUGUUGCUAAGAAGUUGUAAGUGGUUGUUGGGUUGUUGCUAUGGAGUUCUGAGUGGUUGUCAGGUCGUUACUAUGUUCUGAGUGGUUGUCAGGUUGUUGCUAAGAAGUUGUGAGUGGUUGUUGGGUUGUUGCUAUGGAGUUCUGAGUGGUUGUCAGGUCGUUGCUAUGGAGUUCUGAGUGGUUGUCAGGUCGUUGCUAUGUUCUGAGUGGUUGUCAGGUUGUUGCUAAGAAGUUGUGAGUGGUUGUUGGGUUGUUGCUAUGGAGUUCUGAGUGGUUGUCAGGUUGUUGCUAUGGAGUUCUGAGUGGUUGUCAGGUUGUUGCUAUGGAGUUCUGAGUGGUUGUCAGGUCGUUGAAUUCUGAGUGGUUGUCAGGUUGUUGCUAAGUUCUGAGUUUUUGUCAGGCUGUUGCUAAGGAGUUGUGAGUGGUUGUUGGGUUGUUGCUAUGGAGUUCUGAGUGGUUGUCAGGUCGUUGAAUUCUGAGUGGUUGUCAGGUUGUUGCUAUGGAGUUCUGAGUGGUUGUCAGGUCGUUGCUAUGGAGUUCUGAGUGGUUGUCAGGUCGUUGUUAUGUUCUGAGUGGUUGUCAGGUCAAUGCUAUGGAGUUCUGAGUGGUUGUCAGGUCGUUGCUAUGGAGUUCUGAGUGGUUGUCAGGUCGUUGCUAAGAAGUUGUGAGUGGUUGUUGGGUUGUUGCUAUGGAGUUCUGAGUGGUUGUCAGGUCGUUGCUAUGGAGUUCUGAGUGGUUGUCAGGUCGUUGCUAUGUUCUGAGUGGUUGUCAGGUCGUUGCUAUGUUCUGAGUGGUUGUCAGGUUGUUGCUAAGAAGUUGUGAGUGGUUGUUGGGUUGUUGCUAUGGAGUUCUGAGUGGUUGUCAGGUUGUUGCUAUGGAGUUCUGAGUGGUUGUCAGGUUGUUGCUAUGGAGUUCUGAGUGGUUGUCAGGUCGUUGAAUUCUGAGUGGUUGUCAGGUUGUUGCUAAGUUCUGAGUUUUUGUCAGGCUGUUGCUAAGGAGUUGUGAGUGGUUGUUGGGUUGUUGCUAUGGAGUUCUGAGUGGUUGUCAGGUCGUUGAAUUCUGAGUGGUUGUCAGGUUGUUGCUAUGGAGUUCUGAGUGGUUGUCAGGUCGUUGCUAUGGAGUUCUGAGUGGUUGUCAGGUCGUUGUUAUGUUCUGAGUGGUUGUCAGGUCAAUGCUAUGGAGUUCUGAGUGGUUGUCAGGUCGUUGCUAUGGAGUUCUGAGUGGUUGUCAGGUCGUUGCUAAGAAGUUGUGAGUGGUUGUUGGGUUGUUGCUAUGGAGUUCUGAGUGGUUGUCAGGUCGUUGCUAUGGAGUUCUGAGUGGUUGUCAGGUCAUUGCUAUGGAGUUGUGAGUUGUUGUCAAGUCAUUGAAUUCUGAGUGGUUGUCAGGUUGUUGCUAAGUUCUGAGUGGUUGUCAGGUCGUUGCUAAAGAGUUGUGAGUGGUUGUCAGGUUGUUGUUGUUAAGGAGUUCUGAGUGGUUGUCAGGUCGUUGCUAUGGAGUUGUGAGUGGUUGUCAGGUCGUUGCUAUGGAGUUCUGAGUGGUUGUCAGGUUGUUGCUAAGUUUUGAGUGGUUGUCAGGUCGUUGCUAUGGAGUUCUGAGUGGUUGUCAGGUUGUUGCUAAGGAGUUCUGAGUGGUUGUCAGGUUGUUGUUGUUAAGGAGCUCUGAGUGGUUGUCAGGUCGUUGCUAUGGAGUUCUGAGUGGUUGUCAGGUCGUUGCUAUGCAGUUCUUUUGUAAUUUUCAAAUUUUGAAAGUAUUUAACAAUUCUGAACUAUUUUAACAUGUAAUUACUCAUGAUAUGUGAUGUAUUGUUUAAUCAG
Molecule: long non-coding RNA, 1931 nt
Organism: Ctenopharyngodon idella (grass carp)
Lineage: Eukaryota; Metazoa; Chordata; Actinopteri; Cypriniformes; Xenocyprididae
Exons: 3
Source: RefSeq, a predicted model, not a curated record